Molecule: unclassified non-coding RNA, 1586 nt
Filed under: Hevea brasiliensis (rubber tree)
Lineage: Eukaryota; Viridiplantae; Streptophyta; Magnoliopsida; Malpighiales; Euphorbiaceae
Source: RNAcentral
GCCCUGCGCCUCUCUCUCCCAGGCAAUUGCCUCAUGUAACCCAGGCUAGGCGGAGCUAGGCAAGGCGCUAGAGGAUCGCCUCACCUCGCCCAGCGCCUAGGAGCGCCUUUAACAACACUGGCUAAGAUCAUCAGUAAAUAUUUCUAUUCUAGCUAUAAUAUUAUUUAAUGCUAAUGAUAUUCAAAAUAUGAUAGAUUUAAUGUCUUUAUUUGAUGUAUUUGUGCUUAUUAUAUAGUUAUAUAUCUUAAUUUUAUUUGUCUCCACCAAUAUCUACUCAUUUUAUCAACUUUGCAAAUUUUGCAAAAGAAUUUAUGUAGUGCCAGACCAUUACCAUUACUUUAUGAUGGUUACCAUUAAGUUACAACAGCCCAUUUCCUUUACCCGCAACCACAAUUUAAAACCAUGAUUAAACCUGUGCUAUGAAGAACAAUUAUUUAUAUUUGGUUGAUGUGUCGACACCACAUUUGUAUCAACAAUACACGUAUAAAUACUCCUUCCACCAGGAUUCAUUUCUAAUUCCGCUAAAAGAUAUCCAUGCUUCUCUAAAAAUAAACCUAUUGGAUACUGAAACACAACUGAUCCUUCUCAGCAUCCUACAUAAAUAUUUGACACGAAUGAGAUAUCAGGAUGCAUGUUUUUCUGGUAUUAACAUGAAUAAUCUCACAAGAAAAAUCAGAGCUUUUUUUUCUUUGAAAAUACUAACUUUCCAAUGUAGAAUGUCAAAGAUUACGUAUAAUUGAUAACUGUAUCCCUUACCCAAAAGCAAGCAGACAUCUCUUUGGUUCCUCCCUUGUCUCUUUAAUUUCUAACAAACAAAACUUCCCCUUCACUCCUGAUCCUGAAACCCUAAUAUCCUAAUGACCAGAACUCCAGAAACAGAACCAUCAUCAAAUUCAUAAAACCAAACAGCAUGCAUCAACAGAAAGAACCCAUGAACCACCCAAAUGAAAUCAUAAACUACCCAUCUUGCUCUCAUAUUAUUAGAUGCUUUCCAUUCAAACUGGCUUGCAUUGCACUCGAACAAGGAUAAUAUUUCUACUAUGACUGAUAUGAGAUUAUUUUCAAUUGUGUUCCAACUUCCAAACAACAUAAAUGAAUUAAAUAGCUCUCAAUUAGUUUGUUUCAAACAUUAAUUCAAUUAUAAAUAAUUAAACUAAUAGAAAAUAAACAAAUCAAGACAUGGAAAAAUACAAACAAAUUUCAGUUACAUAUAAAACCUUACUCUGUGCCUUUCUGCCUCAAAAUCCGAAACUGAUCUGGCGAUAAAAUCGCACGCCACUCCUCCUCUGACUUCUGGACGGACCCAGGAGCAGCCAUGGCGAUUAAUCCACCACGAAAAUUACGCUUUCUCCGGUAGAAAGAGCCACCGAACCCAGCAAGAGAAAUGGAAUAGACUGCGGGUUUGGAAGAAGGAAAUCUGAAAUGGGUUUUGCAGGAGUUAGGAACAGAAUGAAGCAGAGAAAGAACCUUGGAGAAAGUGGGUUUGGCUGUGGGGGUGAUGAGAACUGCUUUGGUUGCAGAAACAGGUGAGCUUUUGAGGAUGUUGAAGCCCAUCAUCUGGAAGAGAGAGACAGAGAGAGAAAGGG